AGAAUGUGCACACUCCACACAGACAGUCACCCGAGGGUGGAGUUGAACCCAGGUUCCUGUGAGGCAGCAGUGCUAACCACUGAGCCACCGUGCUGCCCCCAAGUUGAUUGUUGUUGAGGGUAAGAGGGUUGAAUUACUUUUUCUGGAUAUUUGUAGUAAAACUAUUGCAACUAGUUCUUCUAUAGUGUAAAAUGGGUUUGUGCUCUUUUUUUUCUGUUUUUACUUGGCAGCCUCUUGUGAAUAUAUUCACUGACUGACUACCAUGGUAAUAACAUUACAAAAAUAAAACCUAUGGUCUAACAAGCUAGAUUUCACUCUAGGGUCUAACUUGGGCAAUAUUACGAUCAGCUGGGAUCAUAGACACAGAAAAUAUGAGCAGUAGUAGGCUAAUCAGCCCUUUGAGCCUGCUGUGCCAUUCAAUACGAUCAUGGCUGAUCAUCCAACUUGGGUACCCUGUUCCCGCUUUCUUCCCGUUCCCUUUUGAUCCCUUUAGCCCUAAGAGCUAUAUCUAACUCCUUUUUGAAAACAUUCAGUGUUUUGUCCUCAAUCCCCUUCUAUGACGGAGAAUUCCACAGGCUCGCCAUUUUGGGUGAAGAAUUGCUCCUAAUCUGCGUCCUGAAUGUUUACUGUAUCUUUACACUGUGAUACCCCAACAUAUCACAAACUAUCGUGGGUUUUUUGAGAGGCAUUUGCACAACUGUAGGAGCAAACAAAUGAAUAACAAGUAAGCCAAUACAACAUUACAAAAAUUACAAUAGUUUUGAAUUACUUGAUAGAAAACAUGCCUUGAUUGUGAAUUUCUUUAGCCAAUAAAGGACCACUGGCAGAUUCAAGUCGCAAUUUGUGUAUCAUAGUUUAAAUUUUUAGAAUUGCUAAUUCUUAAUGUAGAAAUCAUCAGGUAUUUGUCUUAUUAAUCGUACUAAGCUAUUCACUGUAUUGCUCUUUGAUAAUUAUCUGCUGGGUUUACUGUCCUGAUAUUUAAUAUUCCAGAAAUUAAAUUAUAGCUAUCAUUUCAUAUGACUGUUUGAUAUCUUAGGUGAAAAUUAAAGAACAUUUUAAUGACGGAAAAUAAUUUCAGAAAGAAAAUUAUUGCAGUUUCUCCUUCACUACUCUCCUGGUUCGACCUGCCUGAUCCUCUGAAUUCCAGGUGAAGUGGACUCGAAGACCAGACAUCAUGGAAGGAAUCGGAAAGAAAUGCGAGAUGAAACAGAGAACAGAUCAACAUUUGUGAGUCAAGGUAUGAUCCUUAACAUAAAUGUUACGGUGAGGAAAUGAAGUGGAAUAACUGGAUGCAUGAUGGAGGAAAAAACAUACACGAAAGGAAGCAGUGUGCAGGCCACUGAUCUGUGAAUGGAUAUUUGCUUCAUGGAAGGAAAUAAAAGCCGACAGUAUUUUCAAGUCAUUCAAGAAAUGUGGAAUUUUGAAUGUAUUGGAUGGUACAGAGGACGAUUAUCUAUGGGGUGAUGAAGUUGAAGAAGAAGCAGAUGAUGUGCUACCUCGAACUACGGACAGCGAAGAUGAAGAGGAUCCCAUUUAUCCUGACGAUUAUGAAGUUUUAUUCUGUGCUGAAGAUGUUGAACAAUGUGAUUUUGCAGGAUUGUAAUGAACUUUUGUAUUUGAUGUUUAAUUUAAGACGUACCAUGUAAUUGUAAUUUAAAGCCGUAUUAUAUUUCUACUUCGCUUUUUGUAUGUAUAAAUAAAAGCUUACUAAUUCA
Long non-coding RNA from Rhincodon typus (whale shark), 1715 nucleotides. RefSeq lists it as uncharacterized. The transcript has 4 exons. The record is from RefSeq and is a predicted model, not a curated record. NCBI's taxonomy places the organism in Eukaryota, Metazoa, Chordata, Chondrichthyes, Orectolobiformes, Rhincodontidae.